Non-coding RNA from Fusarium fujikuroi IMI 58289, 112 nucleotides. NCBI's taxonomy places the organism in Eukaryota, Fungi, Ascomycota, Sordariomycetes, Hypocreales, Nectriaceae. The record is from the annotation of a RefSeq genome assembly.
UCCCCGAUGGCGCAGUUGGUAGCGCGCUCGACAAAGCACCUAUCGAAAUCACACGUUCAAGUCGAUAAGUGCCACGCUCGAGAGGUCCCAAGUUCGACCCUUGGUCGGGGGA